This 301-nucleotide ribosomal RNA is filed under the name uncultured bacterium. RNAcentral's name for it is "partial 16S ribosomal RNA". It matches the Rfam family "Bacterial small subunit ribosomal RNA", at positions 509 to 807 of the family's 1533-position model. The record is from RNAcentral.
CAGUAGCCACGGGAAUACAGAGGGUGCGAGCGUUAAUCGGAUUUACUGGGCGUAAAGCGUGCGUAGGCGGCUAAUUGAGUCGGAUGUGAAAUCCCCGAGCUUAACUUGGGAAUUGCAUUCGAUACUGGUUAGCUAGAGUGUGGGAGAGGAUGGUAGAAUUCCAGGUGUAGCGGUGAAAUGCGUAGAGAUCUGGAGGAAUACCGAUGGCGAAGGCAGCCAUCUGGCCUAAUACUGACGCUGAGGUACGAAAGCAUGGGGAGCAAACAGGAUUAGAUACCCGAGUAGUCCCUGUCUCUUAUAC